RNAcentral lists this ribosomal RNA (545 nucleotides) under uncultured eukaryote. RNAcentral describes it as "SSU rRNA". It matches the Rfam family "Eukaryotic small subunit ribosomal RNA", at positions 202 to 746 of the family's 1831-position model. The record is from RNAcentral.
UGUAUUUAUUAGAUACAAAACCAAUGCCCUUCGGGGCUCCUUUGGUGAUUCAUGAUAACUUCUCGAAUCGCACGGCCCCGCGCCGGCGAUGGUUCAUUCAAAUUUCUUCCCUAUCAACUUUCGAUGCUACGGUAGUGUCCUAGCAUGGUUGCAACGGGUGACGGAGGGUUAGGGCUCGACCCCGGAGAAGGAGCCUGAGAAACGGCUACUACAUCCAAGGAAGGCAGCAGGCGCGCAAAUUACCCAAUCCCGAUACGGGGAGGUAGUGACGAUAAAUACCGAUACAGGGCUCUUUAGGGUCCUGUAAUUGGAAUGAGUACAAUUCAAAUCCCUUAACGAGGAACAAUUGGAGGGCAAGUCUGGUGCCAGCAGCCGCGGUAAUUCCAGCUCCAAUAGCGUAUAUUAAAGUUGUUGUGGUUAAAAAGCUCGUAGUAGAAGCUCGGCCUCCGGCCGGCCGGUCCGCCUCACCGCGUGCACUGGUCCGGCCGGGGCUUCACCUUCUGCGGAAACCGCAUCCCCUUCACUGGGGGUGUCGGGGAACCAGG